RNAcentral lists this ribosomal RNA (496 nucleotides) under uncultured bacterium. Its description in RNAcentral is "partial 16S ribosomal RNA". It matches the Rfam family "Bacterial small subunit ribosomal RNA", at positions 29 to 507 of the family's 1533-position model. The record is from RNAcentral.
AUGCACGCUGGCGGCGUGCCUAAUACAUGCCAGUCGAGCGAACGGACGAGAAGCUUGCUUUUCUGAUGUUAGCGGCGGACGGGUGAGUAACACGUGGAUAACCUACCUAUAAGACUGGGAUAACUUCGGGAAACCGGAGCUAAUACCGGAUAAUAUUUUGAACCGCAUGGUUCAAAAGUGAAAGACGGUCUUGCUGUCACUUAUAGAUGGAUCCGCGCUGCAUUAGCUAGUUGGUAAGGUAACGGCUUACCAAGGCAACGAUGCAUAGCCGACCUGAGAGGGUGAUCGGCCACACUGGAACUGAGACACGGUCCAGACUCCUACGGGAGGCAGCAGUAGGGAAUCUUCCGCAAUGGGCGAAAGCCUGACGGAGCAACGCCGCGUGAGUGAUGAAGGUCUUCGGAUCGUAAAACUCUGUUAUUAGGGAAGAACAUAUGUGUAAGUAACUGUGCACAUCUCGACGGUACCUAAUCAGAAAGCCACGGCUAACUACGUG